Molecule: transfer RNA, 72 nt
Filed under: Hymenobacter metallicola
Lineage: Bacteria; Pseudomonadati; Bacteroidota; Cytophagia; Cytophagales; Hymenobacteraceae
Description: Hymenobacter sp. 9PBR-1 tRNA-Met
Rfam family: tRNA
About the family: Transfer RNA (tRNA) molecules are approximately 80 nucleotides in length. Their secondary structure includes four short double-helical elements and three loops (D, anti-codon, and T loops). Further hydrogen bonds mediate the characteristic L-shaped molecular structure. tRNAs have two regions of fundamental functional importance: the anti-codon, which is responsible for specific mRNA codon recognition, and the 3' end, to which the tRNAs corresponding amino acid is attached (by aminoacyl-tRNA synthetases). tRNAs cope with the degeneracy of the genetic code in two manners: having more than one tRNA (with a specific anti-codon) for a particular amino acid; and 'wobble' base-pairing, i.e. permitting non-standard base-pairing at the 3rd anti-codon position.
Source: RNAcentral
AGCGAAGUAGCUCAGGGGUAGAGUACUCGGCUCAUAACCGAGGGGUCCGCAGUUCGAAUCUGUGUUUCGCUA